AGCUGAAAAAAAAAAAAACAUUUUUGAAAUCCAAAUAUACACCACAGAUGAUUUAAUAAUUCAAAAAUGCCACAACACAGAUGAAAACAUAGAUUGUUGAUAAUUCGUCCACUUAGGAAGAUAGCUAAAGAUUCUAAAUUCUUUAUGCAAGUCAAACAUUCUGUGGCCAAUUGCAUAAAGAAAUUUGCAAACUAAUACAAGAACUCUAACCAGCUUGUUUGCAAUGUAAGUGCAAAGGCCUUUUUCGUGCAACGCUAAAAAUCUUGGGGCCUCAUUUUUUCUGUUAUAUUUUCUCCUCUUUCAUUUUAAAAUGCCAACGCAUGGCAUUAUAUGA
RNAcentral lists this unclassified non-coding RNA (334 nucleotides) under Hevea brasiliensis (rubber tree). Lineage: Eukaryota; Viridiplantae; Streptophyta; Magnoliopsida; Malpighiales; Euphorbiaceae. The record is from RNAcentral.